GCUCUCCUCAACAGCUUGCCGGUAAAUUUCUUUCCACUUGAUAUUUUACUGGAAUUAAAAUUAUGUUGAAGCACCCAUUAGCAUUCUUAGAAAGUGAAAAAAUAACAAAUAAUUUGAAGAUUUAAAAAAAAAAGAGUUUCAUUAGUCUAUUAUGGCUUCAUGCCUGUGGAUAAUAUACUCAUACAAAUGGGGCUGGAAAAGUUACUUGAGGCGAUCUGAGUUGUGUAUCAUUUAUCAAAAAGCUAAAUGAUGCAGUAUUGGAAGCUUAGAAAU
RNAcentral lists this unclassified non-coding RNA (273 nucleotides) under Hevea brasiliensis (rubber tree). Lineage: Eukaryota; Viridiplantae; Streptophyta; Magnoliopsida; Malpighiales; Euphorbiaceae. The record is from RNAcentral.